This 454-nucleotide ribosomal RNA is filed under the name uncultured Prevotella sp. RNAcentral describes it as "partial 16S ribosomal RNA". It matches the Rfam family "Bacterial small subunit ribosomal RNA", at positions 341 to 792 of the family's 1533-position model. The record is from RNAcentral. Lineage: Bacteria; Pseudomonadati; Bacteroidota; Bacteroidia; Bacteroidales; Prevotellaceae.
ACGGGAGGCAGCAGUGAGGAAUAUUGGUCAAUGGGCGAGAGCCUGAACCAGCCAAGUAGCGUGCAGGAUGACGGCCCUAUGGGUUGUAAACUGCUUUUAUGUGAGAAUAAAGAUAGCCACGUGUGGCUAGUUGCAUGUAUCACAUGAAUAAGGACCGGCUAAUUCCGUGCCAGCAGCCGCGGUAAUACGGAAGGUCCGGGCGUUAUCCGGAUUUAUUGGGUUUAAAGGGAGCGUAGGCGGCCUUUUAAGCGUGUUGUGAAAUGUCCCGGCUCAACCGUGGCACUGCAGCGCGAACUGGAGGGCUUGAGUGCGCCGGAAGUAGGCGGAAUUCGUCGUGUAGCGGUGAAAUGCUUAGAUAUGACGAAGAACUCCGAUUGCGAAGGCAGCUUACUGUAGCGUUACUGACGCUGAGGUUCGAAAGUGCGGGUAUCGAACAGGAUUAGAUACCCUGGUA